Molecule: ribosomal RNA, 442 nt
Filed under: uncultured bacterium
Lineage: Bacteria
Description: partial 16S ribosomal RNA
Rfam family: Bacterial small subunit ribosomal RNA
Source: RNAcentral
CCUACGGGGUGCAGCAGUGGGGAAUAUUGGGCAAUGGGCGCAAGCCUGACCCAGCAACGCCGCGUGAAGGAAGAAGGCUUUCGGGUUGUAAACUUCUUUUCUCAGGGACGAAGCAAGUGACGGUACCUGCGGAAUAAGCCACGGCUAACUACGUGCCAGCAGCCGCGGAAAUACGUAGGUGGCAAGCGUUAUCCGGAUUUACUGGGUGUAAAGGGCGUGUAGGCGGGACUGCAAGUCAGAUGUGAAAACCACGGGCUCAACCUGUGGCCUGCAUUUGAAACUGUAGUUCUUGAGUACUGGGGAGGAAGACGGAAGUCCGGGUGUAGCGGUGAAAGGCGUAGAUAUGAGGAGGAACACCAGUGGCGAAGGCGGUCUGCUGGACAGCAACGGACGCUGAGGCGCGAAGGCGUGGGGAGCAAACAGGAUUAGAUACCCAGUAGUC